CGGGACGAGCAGCUGGGUCCGGCCUGCUCGGCCUGUGGGACCGGGAGCUGCAGCUGGGAGCUGGCAGAGCCCGGCUCCUCAGCCUGGAAAUCCCCAAAUCUUUGAGACUGGUAGAUCCAAAGUCUCAUUUUCGGCUGUUUUUAUUUUUGUGUGUGUGUGCAAGAGUAUAUCCUGCUACCACCUCUCACUGCUGAGCUGGUCUGCUCAGCAGCAGCCCUGCUGCUCUGCCUCGGGCCGAUCUGGUUGUUCCCCUCACAAGGCACAGAGCUGUCUUGUCUGAAAAGGACUUUCAAGACUGGGGUUUAUCCAGUUUCAAAAGGAACAAGGCUGUGGCAGCAGAGCAUCAAUGCAUGGUGUAGGUGCCCAGCAGUGUGUGCCACUGGCUUCAGGCCCAUUGCACGAAGUGUCAGCCGAUUCUCCAGCAGUCCCACUGGGAACUUGCAAAGCUACUGCAAAGUUUUCCAGCCACUUGGAUCUAGGUCUUGGCAUUUCCUAUGUCUGUGGAUUCGGUAUCACAGUGGAACCCAACAUCCAGAUGUUCAGUUGGGUAGAGGAGGAACACAGAGCUUCCUAAAGGCGAUUGAUGGUGCGAGGAACAUGCAGUGCUGCACUGUGGGGUUACAUAGGCAGCACAAGGUCAUGCAACUGAAAGAUUGGAGUACAGAUGUCUGAAAGUUACCCUCUGGAGGAGAUGGGUGAAGGCAGAAAAUGCCAGGUGCACGUUGGACUAAAAUGAGAGAUACUGAUUCAUGCUGCUCCCAGGAAAUGAGACUUUGUAGUACCCGGCUUCAGAGGUUGCCAGGACCAAAGCAGCUGUGCGAAUGCGUCGUCGAUCCUGAUGAGGCACUUCUGAUGUCGGAAGCGCGUUCAGACUCCUAAUCUGAAGAAACUCAGGGAAUUCUGCAUUGUCGUGUCAGCGAGAUCCUGCACUUCAUCAUCUGUCCAAGAAGAGGACAGCAAAGCUGAGCAAAGUCAGAGAACUGAGCCAUCCAAGGAAGGUCCUUGCAGUUCUGUGCACACAGAUGAAGCUGGACCAACGAGCAAGGCAGUCGCUCUGUACAUUCGUGCUGAAGAAGACCCAGGAAGGUGAUACUGCAGCCUGACUCUGGUUUGAUUCUUAGAGGAACUGCUUGUCUUUCAAGUAGCUGCAAUCAGCUCCCAAGGCUUUAUAUAAUGCGGCAGCAAACUCAGAAUACGGUGCAUAAAGUUUUCAUAGCUGCAUUAGACUGGAAAACAUCCUGGCCCACAUUCCAACUCCUGCCAUCUCCAGUUCUGCUGCUGAGAGCUCCCAACCUCAGUCUCGGUGACAGGUAUAGAUCCACUGUAUAGACCAUGAGCAACCUGGCUCAUGGUCUGGGCCACCAAACUCGGGUGCAGGGGGAUUCUUAAGGGAUGGAAAAGUGUGAGAGAGGGAGACUGGGAUAAACCUGUGUGGGGAAGGAGUCACUCAGUGGUGGACAAUCACCCACAGGUAAGUGGGGAUGGUCAUCAGCCUGGGAGCAGGAUAUAGCCUUGACGGGGAAUGGUUUAAUUCAGUGUUUGAUGCUCUGUUAGUGUAUUUUGUGCUGCAGUAUCACUUGAAUUCCUAUGUUUGAAAAAUAACUUAAGGUCUUUUUUUUUUUUUUUUUUUUUUUUAAAUUUCCAUUGGUUUUGCCUUUCAUUUCUGUGUGUUGUCUUCUAAUCCCUUCUUAGCAUGCACCAUAUACAAAGUGGGACUUUUAAGGUAAGAGGAAAAGCAGGAAUAUUUUAAGAACUGCUGAGUCCCUUGGUAAGCUACUUUCCAAGGAGGUUACCCACCAGCUUUCUGUGAGAUUUUGAUCUUGUUCUCUUGAAUUGAAGAGAGUCCUGUGGUCUUCAGUAGACUAGACAAUAUUGAAUGCCAAGUUUUUACUAGUUUGUCAAGUAUCUCAUUGCUGUUCACUAUCUGCAAUGUUCCUUGGGUUACUGUGAAAGGCCUGGACACCUUUUGUAUUACAAAUUCAACAGAUUUGUGGUAUUUUGUGUACCUACAAGAAUAUGGAGAAGUAAUUGAGUUUGCACAAUAACAUUUGCCUAUGACUAGAGGAAAUUAAGCAGAAUGGAGUCUUGUCUUGUGUAUUCCAGUAGGUACAACUGAAUCCUUGAAAACUUCUAUGUCAGUGAAAUUAAUUUUGUGGGAUCUGUAACUAUAGCUGCUAAGAGUUCCAACUGUACAACUGUAGUAAGGAGAAAAGUAAUCAUUUUAUGAUGUCGUUUCUUAAAUAUAAGAGUGAGAUAUUUUAAUGCAGUCCAGAAAGAUGCACCAACCUACAGCAGCCAGUGAGACAUCAGCUCCACCUACAGCAAAGGCUGUUCCAUAGCUCUCACAGAAACACAACAAACAGGUCCAAAACAUUGGCACUUGCAGUAGUUCCUCUUGCUCAGGAAGAUUACCUUACCGCAAGGAGAUACAAAGAAGCAGUGGAUUAAAGAGGCCUGCAGGGAAUUACUGAGUCCUAUGCAACUUCAUACAGAGGAAUUUUUAACAAUAGAGGCAAAUAACUAUUAGAAAGUACUUUAUUAUGGAAAAUAUGAAAACCGAAUUGACGUAUCUUCUUCCUGAAGCAAUCAGGAUUUUUCAUAUUUCUAUUAUGAACUGAAAACAAGACGUGCAGCCUGCCCAGAAGCAUCCUGAGCCUCAAAUCCCUUAAUCUCUCAAGUGCGAUCUGUGGUGCCAGCUAUGCUGGGGAGGGUAGGAAAUUUCCCAUAAAAGAUUCCCAAUGUCAAUUAAAAAUUCUGCAUUUGCUUCUUAGUUUAUCUGAAACUGAAGAAGGUGGCUCUUUCUUGCAGUCAAAACAUGUCAUAUGCAUAUUCUCACACAGAAAGCAGUGGAGGUUCUGAAGCCUAUCUUAGAGUGUGUUUGAUUUCCUGGCUGCCUUAUUUGUUUACAACAAUGCUCUUAAAAUUGUCUCUACCAUCUGUGUGGUUUCUAGUUGUUUGAAUGAGAAUGAGAUAUUAAAAUGCCAUCCAGAUGUCUCGUUGCAUAUCAGCAUUAACAUAUUAUGCAAAUUGUCACAAGGAUAGGUUUUUUUUCUUCUUAAACAAAACAAUAUUUUUAGAUGGAAUGGAGAGAAAUAAAUCUGUGAAGGAUGACAAGGGAAAAAAUGCGCUGAGCAUAUUCAGCUGAACUUUUCAAUCAUUUUUUAUGAAAGGGUUAGGUACAAAGUGUCCUUAGUUUUUUUACCAUAAAUCUGUAGAAGAACAAUUGGGUGAAAACACGAUAAUAAACCAACAAAGUACCUCUAAACCCAAAUAUCUCAGAAAAUGAAUUCAACAAAGUGAAAUACAAAACUUGCCUCUGUGUAUUUAUCUCACAAGAACAGGACUUUGCGAAGAAUGAUAGCAGUUGUCUGCUGGCUACUAAGCAUCCAAUUUAAAGAAACCUUUGUCUCUUAUUCUGCAGAUAUUUACAUUUGGAGACAGAAUCAACAGUGCAAGGCCAGACCUGUGCCCUCAUUGCUCUCAAAAAUAAGAAGAGAUGUCUGGAAAUUAAAGCAAGUGUCUGAGAUUAUACUGUUUUCUUGCAUCUUGACUCUUACAGCUAAGGACAAACGUGAUGCUGUUGCCUGUGUUUUCCUUAGAACCACAGAACGGCUUGAGUUGGAAGGGACCUCAGUCAUCAUCCAGUUCCACUCCUACACCAUGGGCAGGGUUGCCAACUUACUCAGGCAUCUUUAUGGGCACAGAGCAGCAUAUGCCUCUGCCCUUCACAAUGACUUUCUUCAAGCACUUGCAUUUGAAUGUUGCUUUCCCCUUUCUGGAUGAUUAUCUGUCCUCUGCUGUAAGGAGGUACCAAUAAGCAAAAGCUUUCAAGGCUGCUGAAAGGGAUGAAGUACUUUUUUAUAUCUCUGUGUAGAACACAACGCUUGGAGGGGGGAAAUAGCAAAAUAUUGUUUGUCUCCAGCAUGCUUUGGAGAAGUGCCUGGUUUAUUUACUCACGUCCCACCUGAAACAACCCGCAGAUUCAUUUAAAUAAAUAAGCUUGCACCGCACAGUAGGUUUUUAUGUGUGUGGAGCAGGGUAGAGAGGGUAAUGGAAAUUCUCCCUUGUGCAGGGUGGAUUAGUUGAUGCUUAGGCAAUUUUUACCCACCCCCCACCUGGUUUUCCUGCUUACCCUGUGAAGUUGGUUUGAGCUGAAAGAGUCUGGGUCUCUCCUAAUCCAGGGCACUUAGUCCUUGGUUUUAGGCACCUUAUAAUCUUCUAGACCACACGUGGUUUAAAAUGUGUCAUUGUAAUUCUCUAGUCACAGUCACCUGGAAGCUGAAAAGACCUUCAUAUCCUUGAAUUUGAUACCAGCUUAGAAAUUGCUGCUCUUUCUCAGAGGUAACUGAAGGCACGUUACAAUCUGGUUUAAUAGGUUAUAUGAUCAAUCAACGCAAAGGCACACACCUGUCCUAUUAAUACUGUGAUAUGAUUAUUGAGCUAUGACUAGCUUAUACACAAAUAUUCUGCACUUAUAGGUUCGUGAAAGCUGAGGAAAAUCUUAAUUAGCUUUGAUGCUCCUGGAUUGCUGAGUAAAGGAUAGUUUUACCAAGACCUGAUUGAACUGAUUGUUGUGACCCCAUGCUCUGCACUGUGUUUCCACAACAGAAUUGAUCUUUUUUCCAGAUGAAGACAUAUACCAUUCUGAACCACAUUUGAGGGUGUUUCCAACUAAGCUUGCUGAGGGAUGAAGCUAUAAGGACUCAUUGCCAAGAAAUGCUAGUGGAUACACACCUUCACCCCUCUCGCAGAGAACUAUUGAUGGGCUCACGUGGCUGAGAUAUUUAUGAAGAAACUUCUUGUACAAGGUGUUUAUACAGAAGAUGACCACUGAUAGCAUGAACAACUUUUACUGUUCCUUGAGCUUGGAGUUCAUAAUGCUGUUUGGACAUUAUAAGCCCUUAAGUACUGUAACAAAGUGAACGUUCAGCUCCAGGAAUUUCAAAUCCAGGCGAAGUGAACUUGCUGAUUAACUCUGUGAAUGAAUUUCGUGGUUUAGUAGAGGCUCUGAUGACAGCAAAUGAAAAUCUGUCUUAAACUGUAGUAAAACCUGCAGGAAAUACAAGGCACCUGCUGAGAAAUCAGCUUUCUCUUUAGCUAUUACGUUUAAUCUCUUUGACUCUUGUCUAGUUCUUCUAGGUUAGUGGGAACAUAGGUAUGGAUUUUACAGUGCUGUCAUCACCAGUGAAAUGCUCAUAUUAAUCUAGAUUUGUAUGCUAUAUGGCUGUUGGCAAUGAGGACAGUUAACAUUCCAGUAUCAAUUUCCCUUCAAGGAUACUGAAGAGCGUUGGAAACAUUAAGCUUUGAGGCUAGUAAUUUACUAAUGAGAACACUGAUUCAAAGAGAAAUUAGAACCUUAAUCUCUCACCCAGUGAAGCCAAUAGAAAUCAUUUUGUGAUUUCCUUGGGCAGACUCUGUGUAGUUUGUAAAAGGUCACAGAAGAAAUCACAGAAAAAUUAGACUGAGGUCCAAUAACUUUGUGCUUGCCCAGUAGGAGAGUAGCUGCCCCUUGUGCUACGCCUGUACCCUUUAGAUCCAAAUCCCUUUUCCUUAGUGCAGUUGAAAAAUAUUCCAAUAAACCUUGAUUUGCUGGGACCUCAUUCCCGCGUCACCACCAGCUGUGUGCUGCUGCAGAGGAGAUGUGGAACAAUAAUAUAACAGCUUUGGAGCUCUGUUAUUUUUCAUUCAGGCUGAACACCACAGGUGUCCUUCCUGGCACCCUGUGGUGGAGGCUGAUUCUCUAAGCAGAUUUUGGAAGCAAAGAUCUCUUGGACAAGUUUCCUACAGAAGCAUAAAGCCGCUCCCACCAAACUGAAGAACCAAAACCUUGCCACUGUGUUUACGUGCUCACAGUGACAUGAAGUCCUUUAGUACAACUCAAGGCCAUGCCCGACUUCAUAGAAAUGAAGUUUCCAAAUUCUUUGAAGCAGUUAAACUUUGACGAAAAGCUGUACUGCACUGCUGAGAUCUUUCAUUGAACUAAAGCAUCCGGUUUUCAGAGUGACAGGGUGACAUUGAGGAAAUCACAAUUAAGUUCUUCAAAUGUGUUAUUUUAUAGGUAGUAUCCUCCAAGGCCUGAUCCAAAGUGCUCUGUACUCAGUAGGAACCAUUCCACCUCAGGGCUCACUCAAUGUUUUCCAGCAUGCUCUGUCUCUGGUAAUAUUUCAAGCAGUUUAUUACAGAAUUGCAUAAUGCAAUAUGCAUUGCUCGUGUGGGUAGAAACCUUUAUAUCAACAGUCUAGAUAAAUGCCAGCACUGCUAUCAUAAUACACUUCAAUAGAGGUAAGAAAUAUAGUGAUGUGUUUACAAAUUUGAUCCAUUCAGGGCCCUGGGCUGUAGUAACUUAUAUAUAGGAGCAUUUAUGUAGAAAACCACUGGAGCAUAUGCAUGAUUAUUUAUCAAGAUGCUCUAUGUAUGGUGUUGGUAUUAUGCAUUAGCACCUACUUGAUAUAACAGGAAUAAACACUUCACGAAAGAACACAAAGGACACCAGAAAGGUAUAUCACAAACAUAUUUUUACAAUGAACCCACAGAGUAUUUAUGCUGUAGAUUCCACAUAAAGUGUGUGUGAGCUAGCCAAGUACAGCCCUCCCAAAACCAGGUAAGCAGUACAGUUUUAUAAUGAUGAUAUAACUGAAAGAGCCUUCAUUGACUUUAAGUACAAACCUUAUGCUUUCUAAUGUUCCUUCAACUUCCUUGUCACGUAAAGGUCAGUCCACAGCACAGUAGAAGGAAUAGAUGUAUAUCUACGAUACGCACAGCAGAUUUAAGCAUUUGUACUCAUUUGGGUUUAGCCAACUAUGCUGUGCAGUGAGUGGCAAAUGUAUUAUUCUGUUGUGCCAUAUAAAGUAUUAUUCCAGGUGUUUGAAAUAAUGCAUAUAGUUAAAGGUUAUGGCAGAAUAACGUUAAAGAAAUUCACUGUUUCUUGGCCUGAUGGUAGUAUGGAUGAUAAAAAGGAGAUGGUUAUUACAGCCUUGAAGCAUUACAGUUAUUUUGCUAUGAUAAUAGUCCUCAGAUUUUGUUAUAGCCCUAGUAUGUUACCUGAAAGUUAAAAUGCAAUUUACAGGUCUGUGAUCUCUUAUUGUCUAGAAUGUAAUUUCUAAAAGAAAAUGAGUGGUGAUCUUGAGGAUAAAUCCUGGUUUCUUUAAACUUGUUUUUUCUUUUCUUUUUUUUUUUUUGUAAGAGGAGGUUUAUU
Molecule: long non-coding RNA, 7195 nt
Organism: Gallus gallus (chicken)
Lineage: Eukaryota; Metazoa; Chordata; Aves; Galliformes; Phasianidae
Exons: 13
Source: RefSeq, a predicted model, not a curated record